GACGAACGCUGGCGGCGUGCCUAAUACAUGCAAGUCGAGCGGACUUUAAAAGCUUGCUUUUAAAGUUAGCGGCGGACGGGUGAGUAACACGUGGGCAACCUGCCUGUAAGACUGGGAUAACUUCGGGAAACCGGAGCUAAUACCGGAUAAUUCUUUCCACCACAUGGUGGAAAGCUGAAAGACGGCAUCUCGCUGUCACUUACAGAUGGGCCCGCGGCGCAUUAGCUAGUUGGUGAGGUAACGGCUCACCAAGGCAACGAUGCGUAGCCGACCUGAGAGGGUGAUCGGCCACACUGGGACUGAGACACGGCCCAGACUCCUACGGGAGGCAGCAGUAGGGAAUCUUCCGCAAUGGACGAAAGUCUGACGGAGCAACGCCGCGUGAGUGAUGAAGGUUUUCGGAUCGUAAAGCUCUGUUGUUAGGGAAGAACAAGUACAAGAGUAACUGCUUGUACCUUGACGGUACCUAACCAGAAAGCCACGGCUAACUACGUGCCAGCCGCCGCCGUAAAAC
This 514-nucleotide ribosomal RNA is filed under the name uncultured bacterium. RNAcentral's name for it is "bacterial SSU rRNA". It matches the Rfam family "Bacterial small subunit ribosomal RNA", at positions 28 to 526 of the family's 1533-position model. The record is from RNAcentral.